Long non-coding RNA from Lagenorhynchus albirostris (white-beaked dolphin), 707 nucleotides. RefSeq lists it as uncharacterized. The record is from RefSeq and is a predicted model, not a curated record. The transcript has 2 exons. Lineage: Eukaryota; Metazoa; Chordata; Mammalia; Artiodactyla; Delphinidae.
AAGAAAUACAGGGCCACCUUCACGAAGCCCGUGGCUCUCAGCCUUCUCCCAGCUCCUUCCCGCCCGGCCUUCACCGGCACCUGCGCAGGGAGCCCAGAGCAGGGCCGGAGACGGAGUCUUGGGCUCACCCCCAUAUCCCCGGGUUGGAACGCUGGUGAUUCAGCCUGCGGUGCUGGGUGGGGGUGGGUCCCUCCGGGCCCAGACGACCGGAAGUAGCUUUGGGUGGGGCCACUCUAGGAUGGCGGGAAACGGCUCGUUACGCGAACUCGUUGGUCCCAGGGCCGGGAAAUGAAGAAGCCCUCAGAAGAGAUGGUGGCACUCUACCGUCCUUCUACUUUAGCGAAAGGCAUGUAACAGCUUCAGUGUCGGCCUGGCGUUGAUGAUCUGGGGACAUGGGUUCAAUCCCUGGUCCAGGAAGAUCCCACAUGCCGCGGAGCAAAUAAGCCCGUGCGCCACAACUACUGAGCCUGCGCUCUAGAGCCCACGAGCCACAACUUCUGAGCCCACGUGCCACAACUACUGAAGCCCGGGUGCCUGGAGCCUGUGCUCUGCAACAAGAGAAGCCACGACAAUGAGAAGCCCGCGUACCGCAACGAAGUGUAGCUCCAGCUUGCCGCAACUAGAGAAAACCUGCGCACAGCAACGAAGACCCAACGCAGCCAAAACUAAAUAAAAAUUUAAAAAUAAACUUAUUUUAAAAACAAAAA